Molecule: long non-coding RNA, 580 nt
Filed under: Physcomitrium patens
Lineage: Eukaryota; Viridiplantae; Streptophyta; Bryopsida; Funariales; Funariaceae
Description: long non-coding RNA (PPAT_LNC013241)
Source: RNAcentral
GUAGGAUGUUAGUGAAACAAAUGGUUUAGAAUUCAAAGGGUCAUAACCUUUGGAAUCUGAUGGCUGAUGAUACAUCUUUUGGUAGGAUAAAGAGGUUGAGAAGUGGGAGAUCUGAGCCAGACUGUGAUAGUCAUAAGCCAGAAGGGCCAGACUAUGAUAGUCGUAAGCCAGAGGGCUAGACUAUGAGAGUGAUAAGCCGGAGGGCCAGACUGUGAGAGUCGUAAGCCGAGGCAAGCUUGGUACUACCUCUUUGUUUUCUUUAUUUUUAUUAUUUUCAUAUGAAGAAUUGUGAUUGAGAGAAGUAUUGUUGAAAUUGUGAUUAGAAUAUUGUAGAAUAUAACUUUAGAUUGACCGAUUUGGAGAAAAUCUGUGACCUUGAGAAUUGAGAUUAUCAAAUUAUGUUGUAUUAAGUGAAGAUAUUGAAUUCUAUGUGAUGAAUUGAGAAAUUGAAUAUAAUAAGUAAAUUAGAGAUCAGUAAUUGAAUAUAUAUAAACCGCAAAGAGAAUAAGUGGAAGAUGAACUGAUAAGAAUAUGGAAGCAUUAUUGAAUUGAUAGUCGUAGAAUGAAUUAUGUAUUGAAU